Long non-coding RNA from Tachysurus fulvidraco (yellow catfish), 2905 nucleotides. RefSeq lists it as uncharacterized. Lineage: Eukaryota; Metazoa; Chordata; Actinopteri; Siluriformes; Bagridae. The record is from RefSeq and is a predicted model, not a curated record. The transcript is spliced from 4 exons.
GCGAUUUCCAUUGCGCUCGCCCCUGCGCCGCUAUUUACUUUGAAACCCGAUUAGAAUGGACCGUCUAUUGUCGCUAAAGAGGAAGAAACCCCGGUUAGACCGGGUGAAAAGCUAAGGGCGAGCAGAACUCUUGUGAAAUAAAUAGUGGCGCUGGGUGAAAGGGGCUCGAGUCGAACCCCUGAAAGUUUGGGACGCUUUGUUCAAAGCUGUAGUCUUAAUUAGGCUACGAAUGAAAUCUGACUGGCUAUGUGAGCGUUAUCCAGCAAAAAUGUAAUCGCUUAAUAAUAACUCCAUCCCCAAACGCACGAAAUCACAACCAUCCUAUUAUCAACAAUAAAAUUCACACGUUCAUCAAUGAACUGUGCAAAAGACGAAGUAAAACUAUUGGCAUGCACUGGAGCUGCUGCCAGUUUGGCCGCUGUAACAGCGCCUAUAUAAUGGGUUGCGCUAACAUGAUGGAGAGAGGGAAUAAAAUUGAGGUCGAUAGCUUAGACACAGAGGGCGAAGCCUAAUGUUUUGACACUUAAAAGACUAGGAAGAGAGCGAGGGAGAGGCAAGAGAGAGGGAGAGGGGCAGCGAAUGGGAACGCAAGGCGAAGGCAGGGAAACAGCGCGCUAGGACAAGAGAACAGGGAGAAGUGGACACCGCUGCAAUGAGACGCCUUUACACUGAAACACCGUUUCCUUCAAUUCCGCUCUUAACACAUAGGUUUGGCUAACAAUGAAACUUGAGCAGCUGCAGAUAGGACCACCUGGAUGCUCUUGCAUUGGUCUUAACCACUGAAUGUCUACAGACUGGGAGGGGCAGUUGAGAAUGUCAGUUUUCCAUCUUUGCCCAUCUUGUCAGUAUUUGAGCGAAAUCCUUCCCUCAUCAUUACUGCCAUGCUGAAAUGUCAUUUCUGGACAAACCACUUGACUAAGUGUGGGCUUUGGAGACAGUUUCUGUCAUUCUUUGCAUCUGGCAGGCAGAUGAUUGAAUAUGUUCAUGAAAGCGUGUGUGUCCACCUAUACGUUCUGUUCCUGCCUCUCUCUGUUCCAGCAUGUUCGUCAGCAUGAAUAUGGAAAGCUGUGGUGACAUGGCUUAAUGACAACUCUGUUAGUUGCAGUCUGUUUCUUAUGAAAAUGCACCAAACUUGCUAACACAAUCAACAGUGAUGAUUGUGUGGUUUAUAAAAAUAACAUGAACUCAAGAAUGCUUCGCUAAGACAUACAUUAAAUAUGUUGGAAUGAGAAUGAUUGUAAAUAUUUUGUCUGAAUCACUGCUUUGUUAAAGCUCUAUUUGUUCUCUCUUAAUGAUGUGUAUUAUCUGUCUGCAAUCUCAGACAUUCUUUCAGCCGUAUAUAUGCAGAAGUCAUAAAAUUGGAGCUCGGAGUGGAUUGAUAAAAUGGCAGACAGUGGAAGAGUUCACACACAUUCAGAAAAAUGUAAAAUAUUGAGCCUUUAAGGGUUUUUUCCUCCAAGGGAAUCAUUAAAGUAAAACUCUUUUGGAAGAGUUUGAAACUCUUUUGCUAUCCUAACUAAAAACAUUUGGAGGCCGAGAACCAUAUUAAUAACCAGUACGGACACACACACACUGAAAAACAAACACAGGAAAUGCUAUGCCUACAUCUCUGUUUAUGCUCUGUCCUUCUCUCACACUGUACAAUGUGUGUGUCCUCUUUCACCUCUCUGUAUCAGCUCUAUCAGAUCUGAGGAGGAAAGAAUGCAGCAGUCAUUCCUAAACACACACAUUCCUCUAGGCUAGCUUUAUAAUAUCCUGGUCUGAAACAUGCAUUGCAACAUUAAUUUUAUAUUAACAUUAAAAUGUAUUUACAGUUGUGUUUUUUGUCAGGCUUCCUGUAUAACAACUGCAUUAUAUUGGAAAUGUGUAUUAAUCGUAGAUACUACCUGUUUAGAGACAUGUAAAUAUAAACUAUUAACAGCUGUGAUGUAACUAUAAUGUAAAAACUGACCAUGUUUAUACUGUCCCAGCUGGAUUGCAGCAGUGUAUUUGUGUGUAUAUAUAUAUAUAAGUACACAAGUGUAUGCUGACAUCAAGCUGGUCUUGUGUGCUUGUGUGAAACAGGGGAGGUACGUUCAUUUGUGCUGGUUUUAAGAUUUUGUUUCUGAUUGUAUCUGUAUGUACAUAACAACUAAUGUAAUGUUUUCUCUGUCUAGUGUCUAUGUAAGCUUAUGUAGAAAUGUCUAUAAAAUAGUAACUGAAUUUAGCAGUAAAUCCACUAACUUGAAAAAUUUUGCUAAAGGCAUAAGAAAAAGUCAACAGCAUAAAGGAGAUGUAAAGAAAAAAAGAGAUAGAACAAAAAAACCAAUAUAAUUUAAAAAAAGGAAAAGAAAGUAAGAAUAAAGAUAAAUGAACUCAGCCACAUCUUUUAUUAUCCUAAUCAUGACUGCACAGUAUGUGGCUGCUAAAUAUCUCCUCAUAUUCCAAAAUGAUAAUUGGCUUACUUAAUGUUCACUGUUAUCGUUUGAUGCUAAUGUCAUGUCUGACAGAGCAUCAAGAACAAGUAUUAUACCAUUUUGGCCCCUCGUUGUGUCCUGCACUUUUCCUUCUAGGUAUUUGGGAUUUACCCAUGCCAGCGUGAACAAAAGCUGUGCUUCCUUCUCUAUCAGAGCAUGGUUAAAGGUAAGUGGCACCCCCUAUUAGGAUGACAAGGAAAUUAAUGUGUAUCCCCUGGUUCUGUAUUACUUAUUUAUAGGUGAACACCUUUUCCUUGCUUUGGGCAUGUCUGGGCAUUUUUGAGAGCACAGGUGAAUACCUUAUACAACUGAGAUACAACUGGCAUGAAAGCAGAUAUACAGUCUAUUGUUAAUCUUCAAAAUAUGACUUCAGCCUUCAGUGUAAUUGUACAACACUACUAGAGGAAACAUCAUGUAUUUGAAUGAAAUAAACUGACCACAAGCAUGUA